UAGAAGUUAGUUAAAAUUUAUAACAUAUAUUUGUCAUAUAUAAGUUGUCUUUAGACACCUCUUU
RNAcentral lists this transfer RNA (64 nucleotides) under Candidiopotamon okinawense. RNAcentral describes it as "tRNA-Asp". The record is from RNAcentral. Lineage: Eukaryota; Metazoa; Arthropoda; Malacostraca; Decapoda; Potamidae.